UGGAGUCUGCUGCAUCUUUUGGCAUAGGCCACGCCCAUUUGCGUCUAGAAUUUUUUUUCGCAAAAUCGCGAAAAACGCAAAACUGUAUUUUCGCUACUCCUCCCACAUUUCUUGACCAAUCAACACCAAACUUUGCACACGACAUCAUCAGACGCACACAAAAGAAGAAAUAUCAACACUUUUUGGAUCCGACCUUCGACGACGAAACGGUAGCGUUUUGAAUAUUGGUUUAUUAGCUAAAUUAGACGUGGAAUAUCAAAAAUCCAAAGAAAUCCAAAAUUAGACAUCGGAUCGAGUCCAAAUUUAACACACAUGUUAGCGCCACCCUUAACGACGUUCGAACAAAAAUUCGGAAAAUUACGCCCUAAGGGGGCGCUAUAAACGAGGAAAUUGUAUAUCUUCUAAUUGGCCAAAGGAAUGUUCUUCAAACUCAAGGGAAACCAUCAAGGGGCAAACCCGAGUCUAUAUAGAAAAUAUGGCCAAGAAUUAUUAAUGUGGGCGGGAGUUAUUUGGCAAAGGGAAAUUGUCUUUGGAAAAUUAAAAAUUUCGCCACAGGGCGGCGCCAAAAAACAACGACAUUGUCUAUCUCCUAUUUGGCCAAGGCGGGAGUUUUUGGCAAAGGAAAAUUGUCUUGGGAAAAUUUCGCCACAGGGCGGCGCCAAAAAACGACGACAUUGUCUAUCUCCUAUUUGGCCAAUGGAAUGUUCUGAAAACGCGUUUUAGGCUAUAACUCCCACACCGAAGCUCCCACAGUAAAAACCUUUAUAUCCACAUGUUGUUCACGGUAGCGUUUUGAAUACUUGCUUCGCGUUGUGCCGGCGAAAUGCACAUUUCUUGUCGCGUUGUGCCGGCGAAAUGCACACUUCUUGGACCCCUGCAUAACUGCUUGCAGUUCUAGUUUAUUAUUAUUAGGGGUCCAAGCCAACAGGUUGGAUCCCUAUUGUUUUUGUAGUGUUUAUUAUUAUACUUACCUCCUUGAAAGUGGUACCGCAGCCCAAACCGUAAAUGGUGCCGACACGCCAAUUGCAUGACUAGAUCCAGAUCCGUGGGGACUACGCAGACGCCAAAAUCCAGACAUGCCGGCCACUAGGUGGCGCUAUACCUAGGAAAACACGUUCGGGGCUAUAACUCCCACACCGAACCUUCCAGAGUCCAAAAACUUGUACCCAAAGAUGCACUGGAGUCUGCUGCAUCUUUUGACCUAGGCCACGCCCAUUUGCGUCCAUGAAUAUUUUUCGCUAAAUCGCGAAAACCGCAAAAAUGUUUUUUCGCUACUCCUCCCACAUUUCCCGACCAAUUGACACAAAACUUUACACACGUCAUCUUCAGACC
Molecule: long non-coding RNA, 1332 nt
Filed under: Gadus morhua (Atlantic cod)
Lineage: Eukaryota; Metazoa; Chordata; Actinopteri; Gadiformes; Gadidae
Description: lncRNA (ENSGMOG00000024890.1)
Source: RNAcentral